UGGGGAAUAUUGGACAAUGGGCGAAAGCCUGAUCCAGCCAUGCCGCGUGUGUGAAGAAGGUCUUCGGAUUGUAAAGCACUUUAAGUUGGGAGGAAGGGCAGUAAGCGAAUACCUUGCUGUUUUGACGUUACCGACAGAAUAAGCACCGGCUAACUCUGUGCCAGCAGCCGCGGUAAUACAGAGGGUGCAAGCGUUAAUCGGAUUUACUGGGCGUAAAGCGCGCGUAGGCGGCUAAUUAAGUCAAAUGUGAAAUCCCCGAGCUUAACUUGGGAAUUGCAUUCGAUACUGGUUAGCUAGAGUGUGGGAGAGGAUGGUAGAAUUCCAGGUGUAGCGGUGAAAUGCGUAGAGAUCUGGAGGAAUACCGAUGGCGAAGGCAGCCAUCUGGCCUAACACUGACGCUGAGGUACGAAAGCAUGGGGAGCAAACAGG
Molecule: ribosomal RNA, 429 nt
Filed under: Pseudomonadota bacterium
Lineage: Bacteria; Pseudomonadati; Pseudomonadota
Description: Proteobacteria bacterium partial 16S ribosomal RNA
Rfam family: Bacterial small subunit ribosomal RNA
Source: RNAcentral